AACGCGAAGAACCUUACCUGGGCUCGAAAUGUAGUGGACCGGGGUAGAAAUAUCCCUUCCCCGCAAGGGGCCGCUAUAUAGGUGCUGCAUGGCUGUCGUCAGCUCGUGUCGUGAGAUGUUGGGUUAAGUCCCGCAACGAGCGCAACCCUCGUCCUAUGUUGCCAGCGGGUAAUGCCGGGGACUCAUAGGAGACUGCCGGGGUCAACUCGGAGGAAGGUGGGGAUGACGUCAAGUCCUCAUGCCCCUUAUAUCUUGGGCUGCAAACAUGCUACAAUGGCCAGUACAGAGGGCUGCGAGACCGCAAGGUGGAGCGAAUCUCAAAAAGCUGGUCUCAGUUCGGAUUGGGGUCUGCAACUCGACCCCAUGAAGUCGGAGUCGCUAGUAAUCGCGAAUCAGCAACGUCGCGGUGAAUACGUUCCCGGGGCCUUGUACACACCGACUGUAC
This 445-nucleotide ribosomal RNA is filed under the name uncultured bacterium. RNAcentral's name for it is "bacterial SSU rRNA". It matches the Rfam family "Bacterial small subunit ribosomal RNA", at positions 958 to 1399 of the family's 1533-position model. The record is from RNAcentral.